RNAcentral lists this ribosomal RNA (140 nucleotides) under Nicotiana attenuata. RNAcentral's name for it is "rRNA 5_8S_rRNA". It matches the Rfam family "5.8S ribosomal RNA". Rfam says of the family: 5.8S ribosomal RNA (5.8S rRNA) is a component of the large subunit of the eukaryotic ribosome. It is transcribed by RNA polymerase I as part of the 45S precursor that also contains 18S and 28S rRNA. Functionally, it is thought that 5.8S rRNA may be involved in ribosome translocation. The record is from RNAcentral. Lineage: Eukaryota; Viridiplantae; Streptophyta; Magnoliopsida; Solanales; Solanaceae.
GACUCUUGGCAACGGAUAUCUCGACUCUCACAUCGAUGAAGCACGUAGUGAAAUGCGAUACUUAGUGUGAAUUGCAGAAUCCCGUGAACCAUCGAGUUUUUGAACGCAAGUUGCGCCCGAAGCCAUUAGGCCGAGGGUCG